UCGAAUCGGCCUCCAAUCAAUCCGAAUCUAGCCACAGUUAAUUUAAUUUAGUCAAUACUAAUUCUAGGAAUUAAUUCCAUAUGAAAAUACUAAUUUUCCAACAAAAUCCGAAAUUAACCCAAAAUUUUGCCCGUGGGGCCCACGUCUCGGAUUCGACUAAACUCAUAAAAUCCGACAACCCAUUCCGAUACGAGCUCAACCAUACAAAAAUUAUCGAAUUCCGAUGUCAAUUAGACCUUCAAAUCCUAAAUUUUCAUUUUUGGAAAGUUUUACAAAAACUUCAAUUUCUUUCAUCCAAAUCCAAAAUAAACGACGAAUAUUGAUAUAGAUUCGUGAAAUGUAAUCACUUCCGGAUAUAGAACACUUACCCAAGUGGAAAUCGUGAAAAACCCCUUUGGAAUCGCCCAAAUCCGAGCUUGAAUGACCAAAAAUGGAAGAAUUUCGGACCCCUUUUGGUUUUUACACUGCCUAGGGGUAUUUUAGGAUUUUACGUGCUCCACCGCGCUCCUGCCGCGUUCUGCCGUGCUCAAAGGCAGAAAACUCUUGAAUUGCCGCGGUUUCGGCGCGGUCGCGCGCCUGGGGGCGCUUAUGACACAUGUCCCGUAAAAUGGUCAUAACUUUCUGUAUAUACCUCCAAAUGACGAACGAUUAAUUCUAUGGAAACUAGACUCAAAGGGAUUUAAUUUGAUAGGUUUUGCAUCACACAACUCGUUAUAUCCAUGUAGAUAUGCUCGUCCAAAAUGAGGUCUUGUACGUACUCAUUUGCAACUUUAGUAUAUUAUGAAAUUUUCCAACUUGGCUUAGGCUUAGGACUUUAAUUAGACCUCAUAUAUCUUAUAGUACGCCUCGUACACUUGCUAUCAUAUCCAUUUGGCAUCCAUCAUGGUAAUAGACCUCUUCCACAUACUAAGUAAUAUAAUUAGAACACAUCAACUAUCUUAUUUCGCCAAAAUGCGGAAUUAUCCUAUGGACUUCCAAAUCCAAAUUUGGACACACGUCUAAGUCCGAAAUCACCAUACAAAGCUAUUGACAUCAUUAAAAUUCCAAUUUGGGGUCAUUUGCUCAAAAGUAAACUCUUUCACACCUCCUUUUUCAAUACACUCUGGGAGGGUAUAAAUAAAGGAGUUUUUCAAUCAAAGGACAAUCGAAACGGGAUUUAUUGUUAAAAGAUUCAGAGUCGCCACUUGGGAGAUUUAUGGUGUUCCAAGUCACCGGUUGAAUCCCAAAUCGUGGAAAAGCUUGACUCUUUCUAACAGUCCGCGAACCAGAAAUCAGAGUAAGAAAUUCUGUUAACCGGGAGAAGGUGUUAGGCACUCCCGAGUUCCGUGGUUCUAGCACGGUCGCUCACUAUUAUAUUUGGCUUAUUAUCUGACUUUAGAACACCUUUAAAACCUAUGUGCAUUUUAACUUUUCACCGCUUUUCAUUAAAUCAUUUUUAGGAAGAUUUCAACGUUAUCAAAAACAUAUCUUGAGCUACGUCACAUAAAUGCACCCGCAGUCCACGACACAUUUUAUUUAACGUUGUCGAGAUUUGAAUUUGGGUCACAUAAAUGCGCACCCGAGUUUGGGAAUUAGAUAUCACGACUAUGCCACGGGAACCGUACCCAUAGCCGUGAUGAUUCACUACGCGCCAAAAGCAAGCUAUGAGUGUUUAUAAAUAUCAUUUAUGGACUAAACAAAGAGGGAAGCUACCCAAAUCCAAUUUCAGUUUCUCUUAAAAAAAUCAACCUGUGGCUAAGCAUGCUCUUAUUAAUUGAUGAAUUAGCAAAGAAACAAAGUAAACAAAAAAUAACAGAAUUACCAAAGCUCCAAACCUGAUUAUCGUCAUUCUCCUUUACGAAACAUUUUAAUGAAUUUAAACCAAACCAAUCAGCAAAACUAUUCAUAAUACAUCAAUUCUCAAUUUUUAAUUUUUAACCUACUUAAGAUCAAAAUAAGAACAAAUCUUAUGAAACAAAAACAGCCAAAAUGGAAAGAAUCAGGUUCAUGAUUUUUCAAAAGAAAGAAAUCCAAAGAUGUCAUGCCUUUUAAACAAGAACAAAUCAAUAUACCACACCUAUAGUAAUCAAUACUCACAUUUAAUUCAAGCUCAGUCAUGAUCCAAUACAAAACCAUAUAUGAAAUAAAGAUCUAGAGAUUAAGAGAAAAGGAAAUGGACCUAUAAGCAAAAAUCGAACAGAUUUGAGAGCCGCUAACCGGAAACGUGAACCGCACCGACAAACCUCGACGGACCUCAAAUCUCCGACUCAACAACUAAACGGGAAGCUUGCACUAGGGACUUCGACGAACUCGACACCUCGAUAUAUGGCGUUGUACCGAUCUCGCAAACGAACCCCAAGAUGGACUCAACCUCGACAAAGAACCAGCAGAAUAGUCAUCGAGACUCGACCAGAAACUCGCCGGAAAAGUGUUAAACGAGUUUUGAACUCCUCACUGUUUUCAGCCCUUUUUUCGUUCACUAGUGCUUCAGCAUGUGCGUGUGUGUGAUGGUGUGAGCUGCUGGUGUGAGCUCGUUCUAGGUUGAAGCAAGUGAAAAUGAAGGGUGUUGUUUGGUUCGCCGGCAGCGUCGCCACUCACCGGUGAUCAGCUCCGGCGAGGCAGCAACUGUUGAUGGUGUUGGCAGAUCUGCGAUGGCGGGGAGCUGGGGUCGUUGGUUGUGAGGUGAAAGGAGAGAGCAUGUCGUUUGUACUGCUGUUGACGAGAACUAAAGUUCAGAAAAAUGGAGAGGGGCUAUUGGAGAAGAAGACGUGAAAAGGAGUCCCAGCUUUCGUCGCAGCUUCUUCUGCUUUUCAGUUUUUUUUUCGUUCUUUUUCAUGCGCAACUUUUUUUUGUUUUAGCUUUUUC
This 2844-nucleotide long non-coding RNA is filed under the name Nicotiana tabacum (common tobacco). RNAcentral's name for it is "long non-coding RNA (NTAB_LNC006711)". The record is from RNAcentral. Lineage: Eukaryota; Viridiplantae; Streptophyta; Magnoliopsida; Solanales; Solanaceae.